GGCGGACGGGUGAGUAACACGUGGGCAAUCUGCCUGUUAGACUGGAAUAACGCCUGGAAACGGGUGCUAAUGCCGGAUAGACAUUUUGGAGGCAUCUCUAAGAUGGGAAGGGUGCUUCGGCACUACUAAUAGAGGAGCCCGCGGCGCAUUAGCUAGUUGGUGGGGUAAUGGCCUACCAAGGCGACGAUGCGUAGCCGACCUGAGAGGGUGACCGGCCACACUGGGACUGAGACACGGCCCAGACUCCUACGGGAGGCAGCAGUAGGGAAUCUUCCACAAUGGACGAAAGUCUGAUGGAGCAAUGCCGCGUGAGCGAAGAAGGUUUUCGGAUCGUAAAGCUCUGUUGUAAGGGAAGAACACGUACGGGAGUAACUGCCCGUACCUUGACGGCACCUUAUUAGAAAGCCACGGCUAACUACGUGCCAGCAGCCGCGGUAAUACGUAGGUGGCAAGCGUUGUCCGGAAUUAUUGGGCGUAAAGCGCGCGCAGGCGGUCCUUUAAGUCUGAUGUGAAAGCCCACGGCUCAACCGUGGAGGGUCAUUGGAAACUGGGGGACUUGAGUACAGAAGAGGAAAGCGGAAUUCCACGUGUAGCGGUGAAAUGCGUAGAGAUGUGGAGGAACACCAGUGGCGAAGGCGGCU
This 641-nucleotide ribosomal RNA is filed under the name uncultured bacterium. RNAcentral describes it as "bacterial SSU rRNA". It matches the Rfam family "Bacterial small subunit ribosomal RNA", at positions 97 to 726 of the family's 1533-position model. The record is from RNAcentral.